AGCCCCGUAGUCUAGUGGCCAAGGUCGAGGCGGUGACUUGCAUGAUAUGGCAGGUUGCCGCGUCACCGCCGAGAGGAUAGCGGUCUCUGGAACCGCGGACGGCAGUUCGAAUCUGCCCGGGGCUACCA
This 128-nucleotide transfer RNA is filed under the name archaeon. RNAcentral's name for it is "tRNA-OTHER". The record is from RNAcentral.